This 460-nucleotide ribosomal RNA is filed under the name uncultured bacterium. Its description in RNAcentral is "bacterial SSU rRNA". It matches the Rfam family "Bacterial small subunit ribosomal RNA", at positions 343 to 794 of the family's 1533-position model. The record is from RNAcentral.
CGGAGGCAGCAGUAAGGAAUUUCGCGCAAUGGGGGAAACCCUGACGCAGCAACGCCGCGUGAGUGAUGAAGGCCUUCGGGUCGUAAAGCUCUGUCAGAGGGAAAGAAGUGUGGGGAGGCUAAUACCCUUUUCACUUGACGGUACCCUCAAAGGAAGCACCGGCUAACUCCGUGCCAGCAGCCGCGGAAAUACGGAGGGUGCGAGCGUUGUUCGGAAUUAUUGGGCGUAAAGCGCGUGUAGGCGGUUUUUUAAGUCUGAUGUGAAAGCCCUGGGCUCAACCCGGGAAGUGCAUUGGAAACUGCGAGACUUGAAUACGGGAGAGGGUAGUGGAAUUCCUGGUGUAGGAGUGAAAUCCGUAGAUAUCAGGAGGAACACCGGUGGCGAAGGUGGCUGCCUGGACCGAUAUUGACGCUGAGACGCGAAAGCGUGGGGAGCAAACAGGAUUAGAUACCCUGGUAGU